AGAGUUUGAUCCUGGCUCAGGAUGAACGCUGGCGGCGUGCUUAACACAUGCAAGUCGAGCGAAGCACUUUGGAAAGAUUCUUCGGAUGAUUUCCUUUGUGACUGAGCGGCGGACGGGUGAGUAACGCGUGGGUAACCUGCCUCAUACAGGGGGAUAACAGUUAGAAAUGACUGCUAAUACCGCAUAAGACCACGGUACCGCAUGGUACAGUGGUAAAAACUCUGGUGGUAUGAGAUGGACCCGCGUCUGAUUAGGUAGUUGGUGGGGUAACGGCCUACCAAGCCGACGAUCAGUAGCCGACCUGAGAGGGUGACCGGCCACAUUGGGACUGAGACACGGCCCAGACUCCUACGGGAGGCAGCAGUGGGGAAUAUUGCACAAUGGAGGAAACUCUGAUGCAGCGACGCCGCGUGAAGGAUGAAGUAUUUCGGUAUGUAAACUUCUAUCAGCAGGGAAGAAAAUGACGGUACCUGACUAAGAAGCCCCGGCUAACUACGUGCCAGCAGCCGCGGUAAUACGUAGGGGGCAAGCGUUAUCCGGAUUUACUGGGUGUAAAGGGAGCGUAGACGGCACGGCAAGCCAGAUGUGAAAGCCCGGGGCUCAACCCCGGGACUGCAUUUGGAACUGCUGAGCUAGAGUGUCGGAGAGGAGAGUGGAAUUCCUAGUGUAGCGGUGAAAUGCGUAGAUAUUAGGAGGAACACCAGUUGCGAAGGCGGCUCUCUGGACUGUAACUGACACUGAGGCGCGAAAGUGUGGGGAGCAAACAGGAUUAGAUACCCUGGUAGUCCACACUGUAAACGAUGAAUGCUA
This 810-nucleotide ribosomal RNA is filed under the name uncultured bacterium. RNAcentral's name for it is "bacterial SSU rRNA". It matches the Rfam family "Bacterial small subunit ribosomal RNA", at positions 8 to 818 of the family's 1533-position model. The record is from RNAcentral.